This 87-nucleotide transfer RNA is filed under the name Alloalcanivorax xenomutans. RNAcentral describes it as "Alcanivorax xenomutans tRNA_Ser_GCT". It matches the Rfam family "tRNA". From Rfam's summary of the family: Transfer RNA (tRNA) molecules are approximately 80 nucleotides in length. The record is from RNAcentral. Lineage: Bacteria; Pseudomonadati; Pseudomonadota; Gammaproteobacteria; Oceanospirillales; Alcanivoracaceae.
GGAGAGGUGGGUGAGUGGCUGAAACCAGUUCCCUGCUAAGGAACCAUACGGGUUACCGUAUCGCGGGUUCGAAUCCCGCCCUCUCCG